This 253-nucleotide ribosomal RNA is filed under the name uncultured bacterium. RNAcentral's name for it is "partial 16S ribosomal RNA". It matches the Rfam family "Bacterial small subunit ribosomal RNA", at positions 524 to 776 of the family's 1533-position model. The record is from RNAcentral.
UACGAAGGGGGCUAGCGUUGCUCGGAAUCACUGGGCGUAAAGGGUGCGUAGGCGGGUUUUUAAGUCAGGGGGGAAAUCCUGGAGCUCAACUCCAGAACUGCCUUUGAUACUGAAGAUCUUGAGUCCGGGAGAGGUGAGUGGAACUGCGAGUGUAGAGGUGAAAUUCGUAGAUAUUCGCAAGAACACCAGUGGCGAAGGCGGCUCACUGGCCCGGUACUGACGCUGAGGCACGAAAGCGUGGGUAGCAAACAGG